CACGUAUUUAGCCGUUCCUUUCUGGUAAGAUACCGUCACACACUGAACAGUUACUUUCAGUGCCGUUCUUCUCUUAUAACAGUUGUUUUACGAGCCGAAACCCUUCAUCACACACGCGGCGUUGCUCCAUCAGGCUUGCGCCCAUUGUGGAAGAUUCCCUACUGCUGCCUCCCGUAGGAGUAUGGGCCGUGUCUCAGUCCCAUUGUGGCCGAUCAGUCUCUCAACUCGGCUAUGCAUCAUUGCCUUGGUAAGCCGUUACCUUACCAACUAGCUAAUGCACCGCGGGUCCAUCUCUUAGUGAUAGCAGAACCAUCUUUCAACCAACAACCAUGCGGUUGUUGGUAUUAUACGGUAUUAGCUACUUGUUUACCAAAUCGUUUAACUCCCCUGCUAAGAGGUACGGUUACCCAGUUGUUACUCACCCGUUUCGCCACUUCGUUUCGUCACGUAUAAAAAUC
This 458-nucleotide ribosomal RNA is filed under the name uncultured Weissella sp. RNAcentral describes it as "partial 16S ribosomal RNA". The record is from RNAcentral. Lineage: Bacteria; Bacillati; Bacillota; Bacilli; Lactobacillales; Lactobacillaceae.